GACGAACGCUGGCGGCGUGCCUAACACAUGCAAGUCGAGCGGAGUCGAUCGACGGAAGCCUUCGGGCGGAAGAUGGUUGACUUAGCGGCGGAUGGGUGAGUAACGCGUGGGCAACCUGCCUCGAAGACCGGGAUAACAGCCCGAAAGGGCUGCUAAUACCGGAUGUGGUCAAGGAUCCGCAUGGAUUUUUGAUUAAAGGGGAAACCCGUUUCGAGAUGGGCCCGCGUCCUAUCAGCUAGUUGGUGAGGUAAAAGCUCACCAAGGCGACGACGGGUAGCCGGCCUGAGAGGGUGACCGGCCACACUGGAACUGAGACACGGUCCAGACUCCUACGGGGGGCAGCAGUGGGGAAUCUUCCACAAUGGGCGAAAGCCUGAUGGAGCGACGCCGCGUGAGCGAAGAAGGCCUUCGGGUUGUAAAGCUCUGUCUGGAGGGACGAAGGAAGUGACGGUACCUCCGGAGGAAGCCACGGCUAACUACGUGCCAGCAGCCGCGGUAAAACGUGUGUGUA
Molecule: ribosomal RNA, 511 nt
Filed under: uncultured bacterium
Lineage: Bacteria
Description: bacterial SSU rRNA
Rfam family: Bacterial small subunit ribosomal RNA
Source: RNAcentral